GGUUCCUUCUUAGAGUUAGCUCGUGGCUCAGGGGGGGGGAUCCCCCCCUAAAAAUUUAGCCCGGCACCCGUGAGUAACACGUGCCCCCCUGCCCAUAAGACUGGGAUAACUCCGGGAAACCGGGGCUAAUACCGGAUAACAUUUUGAACCGCAUGGUUCGAAAUUGAAAGGCGGCUUCGGCUGUCACUUAUGGAUGGACCCGCGUCGCAUUAGCUAGUUGGUGAGGUAACGGCUCACCAAGGCAACGAUGCGUAGCCGACCUGAGAGGGUGAUCGGCCACACUGGGACUGAGACACGGCCCAGACUCCUACGGGAGGCAGCAGUAGGGAAUCUUCCGCAAUGGACGAAAGUCUGACGGAGCAACGCCGCGUGAGUGAUGAAGGCUUUCGGGUCGUAAAACUCUGUUGUUAGGGAAGAACAAGUGCUAGUUGAAUAAGCUGGCACCUUGACGGUACCUAACCAGAAAGCCACGGCUAACUACGUGCCAGCAGCCGCGGUAAUACGUAGGUGGCAAGCGUUAUCCGGAAUUAUUGGGCGUAAAGCGCGCGCAGGUGGUUUCUUAAGUCUGAUGUGAAAGCCCACGGCUCAACCGUGGGGGGUCAUUGAAAAACUGGGAGACUUGGAGUGCAGAAGAGGAGAGUGGAAUUCCAUGUGGAGCGGUGAAAUGCGUAGAGAUAUGGAGGAACACCCAUGGCGAAGGCGACUUUCUGGUCUGUAACUGAAACUGAGCGCGAAAGGGUGAGGAGCAAACAGAUUAAAUGCCCCUGGUGAGUCCCCACCCGUAGCGGAUGAGUGCUAAGUUGUUUAAGGGUUUCCGCCCCUUUAGUGCUGGAGUUA
This 837-nucleotide ribosomal RNA is filed under the name Bacillus cereus. RNAcentral describes it as "bacterial SSU rRNA". It matches the Rfam family "Bacterial small subunit ribosomal RNA", at positions 41 to 854 of the family's 1533-position model. The record is from RNAcentral. Lineage: Bacteria; Bacillati; Bacillota; Bacilli; Caryophanales; Bacillaceae.